This 657-nucleotide long non-coding RNA is filed under the name Ananas comosus (pineapple). Its description in RNAcentral is "long non-coding RNA (ACOM_LNC030101)". Lineage: Eukaryota; Viridiplantae; Streptophyta; Magnoliopsida; Poales; Bromeliaceae. The record is from RNAcentral.
AUUUGACUUCAAAUUUUGAAUGCGUCGCUUACGUUUGCAGAUUUAAUUGGUAUAUUUCAUACAAUCUGUCAAGUAUAAAUUCAUUCAAACAAUAAAUAAUUAGCUUAAAUUUCAAAUUUUAAAAUCAAAUAAAUUUAAAGAUUAGCUAGUAAAAUUAAAAUUUUGAAAAUAUGAUAGCUAAUUCAAAAUGGUCCAUACUUCAAAUAAGUUUUUAUACGUUUUUACUUUUAAAUAAUAUUCUAUUAUUCCUAGGGUAAACUUCAAAUACCACCUCUGUAAUUUCGUAUUUUCUCACUUUAGUAUCCUGUAAUUUAAACUGUAUCAAUUUAGUACCAUGUGGUUUCAUUUUUUUCUUUUCGUCAGCUCCUUCGUUAACAUUUCGUUAAAUUAUAUAUAAAAAACUUCAAAUAACCCACCUAGGUUUAUCAAAUAUUCACUUUAGUAUCUUUUAGCUUUAACUUUGUCAUUGAUUCAACGAAAAAAACUAGUGAAGGGAUAAUAAAAAGAAAAAAAUGAAACCAUACGAUACUAAAUUGAUACACUUUAAAACAUAGAUUACUAAAAUAAAAAAGUGCGAAACUAUAAAGAUGGUAUCUGAAGUUUUUCCAAUUUCUAAUAAACAUUUUCCACCAAAGCCUCUUGCUGUAACAACUACAA